RNAcentral lists this transfer RNA (67 nucleotides) under Marmota monax (woodchuck). Its description in RNAcentral is "tRNA.Ala". The record is from RNAcentral. Lineage: Eukaryota; Metazoa; Chordata; Mammalia; Rodentia; Sciuridae.
GGUUGUAGCUCAGUGGUAGAGCACUUGCCUGGCAUGUGUGAGGCACUGGGUUUGAUCCUUAGCAUCA